Non-coding RNA from Cinara cedri, 217 nucleotides. The record is from the annotation of a GenBank genome assembly. Lineage: Eukaryota; Metazoa; Arthropoda; Insecta; Hemiptera; Aphididae.
AGAAAGUUAUACUUCAGGUGUGUGGUUUCAUACAGGAAUUUGGUCAAAAUCUAAUGAGGCUAAAGAGGGGGAGUUCUAAAAUCGUUUUUUUUAAAAUGUGUUUACCUACGCACUGUAUAGUAAGUAGUAUAUUGGGAUUAUUCUAGAUGAAUAUAUUCUGCAUUUUGACUUGACUAUGAGAAAUAAUAGUUAUCCGGGAUAAAUAAUUGAACAGCCU